UACGUAGGGCGCAAGCGUUGUCCGGAAUUAUUGGGCGUAAAGCGCGUGUAGGCGGCUUGUUAAGUUGGUUGUGAAAACCCAUGGCUCAACCAUGGAAGGGCGUCCAAAACUGGCAAGCUAGAGUCCCGACGAGGAUGGCGGAAUUCCCAGUGUAGAGGUGAAAUUCGUAGAUAUUGGGAGGAACACCGGUGGCGAAGGCGGCCAUCUGGGAGGGCACUGACGCUGAGACGCGAAAGCGUGGGGAGCAAACAGG
Molecule: ribosomal RNA, 253 nt
Filed under: uncultured bacterium
Lineage: Bacteria
Description: partial 16S ribosomal RNA
Rfam family: Bacterial small subunit ribosomal RNA
Source: RNAcentral